AUUUUUUGGGUGAUAGUAAAAAGAGAUGCUCUUUCCUCUUUCCAUAGCUUUUUCGAAUAAAACCAUGCAAAAUUUAUUAUUAUCUUUUCUGGUCCCCAUUUAUACUACUAGUAACGGUUACUAUCUCUUUUUUGGCUGAUCCUUCCUUCUCACAGCUACAAAGAGAAAAAAAAAAAAACCAGCAAAGAGAAAGAGGUUAAAAUUAGGUCCCCCACUGUGACUGCCACUGCCUCAACCCUAAAAAAUCUUAUUUAAUGCUCUUUCUUAUAACAAAUGUAUAUACAAAACAC
RNAcentral lists this long non-coding RNA (290 nucleotides) under Gossypium raimondii (Peruvian cotton). RNAcentral's name for it is "long non-coding RNA (GRAI_LNC005016)". Lineage: Eukaryota; Viridiplantae; Streptophyta; Magnoliopsida; Malvales; Malvaceae. The record is from RNAcentral.